Molecule: long non-coding RNA, 4205 nt
Organism: Lutra lutra (Eurasian river otter)
Lineage: Eukaryota; Metazoa; Chordata; Mammalia; Carnivora; Mustelidae
Exons: 4
Source: RefSeq, a predicted model, not a curated record
GACUCGAUCCCAGGACCUGGAGAUCAUGACCUCAGCUGCUUCACUGACUGAUCCACCCAGGUGUCCUGAGUUUUGAAAUUUUUUAUGGGAUCAGAGAGAUCUUUGUGGUGUAACUUGGAGGAGCGCGGCAUCUGUCCAUGUAAGACCUUUCCAGGGUGUCUUGUAGCAGUUAGGAUGAAAUCCAAGCUUCUUACCUCAGCUCCUGGCUGUGGUCCCUGCCCACCUGCCUGACCUCAUCGCUCCAGGUUUGCCUGUGCUGUCACUUCCACAGCGCUUGGCUGGUUUCCAUUUAUUUCCUCUUCCCACCCUGGGCGUUUGCAAGUGCUGAUUCUUCAGUUUUGAAAGUUGUUCCCCCACAUUUUUCGCCUGGCUUUCUCUCAGCUGCUGCUUCUCCAGCUACCUUCGACAGGCCUUCCUGGAGUCCCUGCCCCCUCCCCCGGUCCCCUGGGCUGUGUCCCAGGGCUUACUUCAGCACAGAGCCUGGAAUGCAGAGGGGUUCAGUGGAUGUUUGGGGUAGGGAAGGCUGAUUCAUUGGGAUUGCACUGCUUGGUCCUGGCCUGUCUGCUCGAUGAGUUCAGUAUGGGCUUCGGGGUUCAGACUCACUCCCUUUGGUGUCCCUGACUGGGCUCCCCUUCCCAAGAAGAUCUUUAAGACCCACAGGCGAGCAGGGUGAAGCACAAAGUGGGGGGCUGCAAGGGAGAGGCAGGGGAGAAUAAGCUCUGUCCAGGAGGGAUUGGUGUGAAAUAGACAGGAGUAGGAAGUCCCCGGGGAGAGCCCUCCUCAUCCCUAACAGCCCACCCAGACUCGUUCUUUCCCUCGACACACACACACUGUCCUCUACCUGCUCGCCUCUCCAGCCCAUGCACAGCCUCUGAGAACAGGGUGCUUGCUACUCGGGACCUGUUGGGGCAACAGCUCCAGGCUGCACUGACAGGUUCCCUGGGCACCUGUGUAGCACUUUCCCCUCUCGGGACCCAGCAGCCCUGCCUCCAUUCUCUGUGUCCCCUCCUCCUGUUCCCUGGUGAAUGUCCAGGAAACUGGGGCCAACCAGGGGGAAGUCAGAGCAUCUUACACUCCCAAUGUGAAUGCGAGCGCAGGAGGGGUCAGCACACACCCCAAGUUGGCUUCUCUGUGCCUACUUCAUGAGCUGUCUGGGCAGAGAACCUGGCACCCAGCAAAGUCAGUCCCCUGAACCCAGGUCAGUGUGGGAGGGGGACUUCAAAAGCCCUACCCUGUACCUUCUCAGGCUGCAAGGAGUGCCCGGUUGACUUCUAGAGAGACCAAGCCCCCAGGAACAGAUAAUUAGCAGUGCACAGGAGGCGGAGCCAACUCAGAAAGACCUGGGUUCCAAUCCUGCCCUUCCUGGCUGUGUGACCUUGAACAAAUGAGUGAACCUGUCUGAACCUUACUUUCCUUAUCCAGAAAAUACAGUAAAUAUUUAUUUCACGUGGCUGUAGGAAUGUGAAUUGCCUGGCACAGGGCGUGGUACCUAGUGAAUGGCAACAGGUGAACAGGGCUUCUAGAUAUAUUAGAGAAGUUGUUCUCAGAGUGUGGUCCCAGACCAGCAGCACCCUGGAAGCUGGCAGAAAUGCGGACUCUCAGACCCUACCCCAGACCCACUGAAUCAGAAGCUCUGAGGGCAGGGCUCAGCAAUCUGUUUCAACCAGAUAGAUGAAGUUGGAGAAUCACGUGCAGACCGUCAGAUUCUGAAGUCUAGAACACAUCAAAAUCACCUGGGAGCUUGUUGAAAAUACAGAUUCCUGGGCUCAAAGCCAAGGAUUGAGCAGGUGCAUCUGGCAUCCAGAUUCCACAUCGCACUGGGCUUUCUGCAGGAGCAAGGAGGUCUUCAUAGAGCCCAGCCCAAGGGAUCUAAUGUCAGGUGACAGGGCAUGGCACUACUCCUCAGUGGGAUCUGCAUGUGUUGGGGGGGUCACCUCGUCUGCCAGGCCGUAACUACCCCUUAGAGGUGAGAGCGUCUUGGGAGCAAGAUGAGAUUUUCCUGGUGGGAUUCCUGGGGCAGGGGGCAGGCCAGGUGGAUGAGACCCAUGAGCCAGGCCUGUUGAGCCUCUAAGCUGAUACUAUAAGGGCUACAGGGAGGAAUCCUCCUCUUCCAGAGCCCCAUUGGGCACCCCACAGUUUUGAGGGUGGACACGGAGGAGAUCUGGAGAGGAGGGACAUGGUCUCAGGACCAUCGAGCUCAUUGCAUGGAUGGUUCCAGCACCAAGUGGGGCAGAGGUGAUUCUGGGAGUGGAGUGAUAGAAGCUGACCUGGGGUCUGGAGAAGAGGAGCAAAGGAUAUGGAGGGCCAGUCUCCUGGAAGUGGAGGAGGGGAGGGAUACCGAGGCUGCAUUGGGUGCGGGGGGACACCCUGGACUGGGACCCCUGGCCUGAAGGUGGGGAAGGAAGAGGAGAGUUUGAUGGGAUUGGGGGACUCUGGUCUCGGUGCCCAGUGUUCCGGCUUAGCUUCGGGCUGUGGUGGGGCUCUCUUGGAAUGCUGCCUUCCCCUCUUUCUCCCUUUGAGCCUGUACCCUGUCUUACCUCAGUUCCUUGCUCACUGGAUGACUCCCAAAGCACAGAACCUGCUCCAUGCCUCCAGCAAUCCCUGCAUCCACUUUGUGCUUCUAGGAUUUUUUCUAUUGCCAAGGAGCAGCCGGGAUCUCAGGCUCAACUCUUUAAAGUUGCAUCACAGUACCUGCUGCUUCCUGCGGUGCCUGGUGGGCCUGGCUGUUGUGGGCACAUCUGUACGGACAUCCUGCGCUGCUGCUCAAGGCUGGGAGUGAGGCUUGGGGGGCUGGAUGGGGAGGCUGCCUUGACCAGUGGGGUAGGGAGAUGCUGGAACCCUGGGGAGAGGGGAGGGUCCUGGGCAGGAGAGAGGAAGGGGCUGGUUGCAGGAGAUGCCAAGAGGAGGAGACCAGGCUUUGGGUAGAGGCAAAAGAUUGAACUGUGUGUGUGUGUGUGUGUGUGUGUGUGUGUGCGCGCACGCGCGCGCAGUUUUGGGGAGGGGAUGUUCUGUCUGGAACAUAGGCUGCUCAGAGAUCAAUUUAUAUAGAACCCCCCCACCCCGCUUUAAAAAUGAGAAGACUGAGGCCCAAAAGGAGACAGAUGGUGUUGCUGGAGGGGGCUGGGGUUGGGAGGCCGGUCCUUUGGCUUCUGGCCCCAGGCCCAGUCCUGUGUGGGUUGUGAGUCCCUCCUAUUCUUCUCUCUGUCCCCAAGAGCAGACUUUGGACCUGGGGCUGCAAAUGUGGUAUCUGUGCACACACACACUUCUUCAGCCGCCCCACGUGGUGUAGAAGGUGUGGAAGGCCUCUUUCUCUGCCAAGUUGACUUCUUGCUGGGCUACCCAGUUCUUCCUCGAAGCCCGUGCAUCCCCCCAGCCCAGCACCAACUCAACUCCAGCUCUCCGCUCAGCCCGUUGGCCCCAGAGCAACAAGCCUUUCUUCAGCCUAGUAUGUGGAUAGGGAAGCUGUUUGCUUUGACAACUCUUUGGAGCCUGGGGGACCCCUCUCAGGACAAAAAUGGCCCUUCAAGACCAAAUCCUUCCCACUAUGGGGACACUGCCAAGGUUUCUGCAGCUACCAGGACAGUAAAGAAAAUGAACAGUUCCAACACCAAAGGAUCUCUGGUAUUACCCUUUUAUGACCAUGCCCACUUCCCUCCCUCCACCUCCUCCACUUUAUCCCUAACUCUUGGCAAUCACUAAAUCUGUCUUCCGUUUCUAUAUUUUGGUCAGACAAAUGGAACCAUGUGGCAUGUGAUAUUUUGGGAUUGGCAUUGAUAAUAAUAAUAAUAUAAUAAUAUCACAUAUUAUUAUAUAUAAUAAUAUAAUAAAUAUUAUUAUUAUUUUGCUCAUCAUCACCUACCCAAUUCAUCCAAGUUGUCAUAAAUCAAUAAUUUGUUCCUUCUGAUUGCUGCGUAGUAUUCUGUGGAAUGGAUAUACCAUAAUUUAACUCUUUUUACCUGGCGAAGGACAUCUGGGUUGUUUCCAAUUCUUGGCUAUUAUGAAUAAAACUACUAUAAAGAUGUGUAAAGGGUUGGAAGUGCCAAGGGAUAUGAAAUUGGCUACCACAUUCUUGGGACCACAGGUGCUUACUGGGUCCAUCAUUGUUUCUAAUGGCUUUUCAGUGGACAGAAUUAGAAUAUACUUUUCGGGACACCUGGGUGGCUCAGUUGGGUAAGUGUCUGCCUUCGGCUGGGGUCAUGAUCAGG